CAGAGGCGCACCUGGGCGGCCAGCUGGGCUCGGAGUGCAGCGGGGUUAGGGUGGACGAGGACGUGUUGCACCCUGAAGAGCCUCAUCAUCGCCUGCUCUUGAGGUUCACAGAUGAUACCUUUGAUCCAGAACUUGCAGCAACAAUAGCACCGGAAGCAGUACUCAGAACAAGUCAUACCUAAUGCUGCAGGAAACAUUUCCAAACGUGUAUGAAGAUACAUAUUGGUGGCAGAGCUAAUUCAACAGAAGCAACUCCAUCUACCUUUUCAUGUUAUUUUGACACCAAAACAAAUCUUGAAAGUGAAUGAAUACAUAUUGCUUUGUUAAAUACAUAUUUGACUUAUAUGGUGUUUAUAUAAAUAUAUAUAUAUUUUAGAAUCCACAAACUAUCAAAAUAA
Molecule: long non-coding RNA, 398 nt
Filed under: Pan troglodytes (chimpanzee)
Lineage: Eukaryota; Metazoa; Chordata; Mammalia; Primates; Hominidae
Description: long non-coding RNA NONPTRT001693
Source: RNAcentral